Lolium perenne is the source of this 2295-nucleotide long non-coding RNA. RefSeq lists it as uncharacterized. NCBI's taxonomy places the organism in Eukaryota, Viridiplantae, Streptophyta, Magnoliopsida, Poales, Poaceae. The record is from RefSeq and is a predicted model, not a curated record.
CAGAAAAUGGCAUGAGGUUCAUGAAACCAGGCUCAACACCAGCAUGAGGUUCAGGUCCAUCUGUCGAGUCUUCUACUGGUUCUUCAGGUUCCAUCUUGUUUGUGUUGCUGUAAAGAUUCAAGAUUUUCGAGAUUCGAAAAGAAAUUACUUCCUGCUGCAUACAAGUACAACACCAGCAGGUUCUACUUCCUUUGUUCCUACGUGGAGCAGAUUUUGUUGCAAAUAUGAACACAAACUGGACAGGUUCUACUUCCUUCAUUAGUUGCAAAUCUGAACAUAAACUGGACAGUUCAUCUGUUCUGUGGGUUACUCUUACUUGCAUACGAUGUAAAUCUUUGCAAGAACACAUGUUUUACUUCCUACAUGGAGCAGAUUUUGUUGGAAAUCUGAACAUAAACUGGACAGGUUCUACUUCCUUCAUUACUUGCACAUCUCUACAUAAACUCGACAGUUCAUCUGUUCUGUGUGUUACUUUUAGUUGCAUAUGCUUCCUGUAUGUAAAUCUUCGCAAGAACACAUGUGUUAGUUCCUACGUGGAGCAGAUCAGAACUUGGAACUUGUGUGCUAGAACCAAGAUUACAUGAAGAAGUAAGAUCUGGGAUAAACUGGCAGCAAGUUUCGAAAUUUUUACCUUUGUUUCUUCCCUGGCCUCGUCCAGAUGAAGGUGCAGCAGUUAUGUUACUUUUUGCAGGGACUGGCAGGUGCCCCACGUAUCUUGUGUUACUUCCCUGACUUCAAACAUGGAGGAAUGGUUCUUUCUCCCUUUCUGCCAUCCCUGGCGGUGGUGGAGGAGUUAGGGAAGGAAGAAAGGACUCGAUCUGUCUUUCUGGUUUCGAAAACAGCUUAUCCCAGCAAGUUUCGAAAUUUUUACCUUUGUUUCUUCCCUUUUCUAGCUGGGUGUCGCUAGGUGGCACGAAAACAGCAUGGGCCUGUCGAUGUUUUCGCUCGCGUCCUCGCCUGUUUCCGCGCGCGUCCAACCCGGGAUGCUUUUUCGGGAAGGGGUGGGAAAACGCGUGAACCCAAAUAUGGGCUGUCGGAACUGAGCACCCGGGAAGCCCAAAAGUGGCUGACCACUGUGUAGUCGCCCCCAUAUUUAAUUUAAUUUGUCCCUCUUUUGUGUUCAGAUCUAUGUCGAGAUUACAUACUCCACAUGGAAAUAACGAACUUUAGGAUCAACCCAGGGCAUACAGUUACAAUACAUGGAGGGGAUAAUAAUAACACAGAUAAUAAGGCACCAAGAUAUCAAUUUGUUGGUGAUUUUGGGCUGAUUGGCAAGUGAUUUAAUAGGUACUGACAUUUAGUAAUGCAGUUAGGAAUUAAAAUUAAUGAUGUAGCACCACAACUUUCAGUGUUAAUUAAAAUUAGUGAGCAUGAUUUCGCUGCAGCAACCAUAUAUGCAUGCUAUAUUUCUGGUAGCAGCAGUUGUGCUUAAGCAAGUUUGAUCAUUUGCUUUCUUAUUUGGCUGUCUGCAAGAAAUAUAUACUUGAGGUCCCAAUCAAUUAGAUAUACUAGAACUUUACCUUAGAGUGAAAAUAAAGUUCAUGUUGCCAUUGUAUUUCUACUUUAUUUAAAGCGAUCAAGUUUGGUUACCUAUCUGCCUAUACUGUGAAUAGCUUCAUAUAUAUUUUUCCGUAGAUGAAAAAUCUCCAUGUAUGUUCCUGCCCUUUAAUUUAUAUGGCUUAACGACGUUCUUUAGCUGAAUAAAAUAGCUCCUUGCAGAUUUUGUAAGAUCACACGCUUAUCUACAAGAAAAUGCAGUUUGCAAGAAGGUAAUACAGAAUCUUUGGUACUGGUUUUCUCUACUGUAUCCUGAGCUGCCAUGGUACUGGAUCAUUGAUGGAAUUGGUUUUCGAGGGUAUUAAAUGCCUUUCCGGUCGUCCUCAUUGAAAGAUGAGCUCUCAUGAUGUUUAUUCCAUUUCAAGGGUAUAAAGCAAGUGUCCUGUUUGCAAGUAACUGCGGACAUAGAUUGUUUGCAAGUAACUGCAGACAUAGAUUGCAUUACAGUGUUGAUUUUUCUGUCGUUCAUAUAUAGGCAUAUGGCCAGUUUCGCCAUCUUCACGGGCUCGAUCUAGACACGUCCAGGUGUUGUGUGGCAUGUUCUUCCAUUUGGAUUUUAUUAGUACAAGCUCCAGAUUGCAGUAUGCUUCAGACAUCUUAUGGUUUAUCCUAGCAUUAGAUCAUGAAGAACUGUAAUAAUUUCCCUAAGCGAGGUCAUGCUUCACUAAUAUUUGGGAAAAUUGUGCAUGUCACAAGUAUUGUAAGAUAUGCCCCUGUGACAUUAAGAAGCGGGCUUAU